Molecule: ribosomal RNA, 344 nt
Filed under: uncultured bacterium
Lineage: Bacteria
Description: bacterial SSU rRNA
Rfam family: Bacterial small subunit ribosomal RNA
Source: RNAcentral
AGAGUUCGAUUCUGGCUCAGGAUGAACGCUGGCGGCGUGCUUAACACAUGCAAGUCGAACGAAGCGAUUUGAAUGAAGUUUUCGGAUGGAUUUCAGAUUGACUGAGUGGCGGACGGGUGAGUAACGCGUGGGUAACCUGCCCCAUACAGGGGGAUAACAGUUAGAAAUGACUGCUAAUACCGCAUAAGCGCACAGCAUCGCAUGAUGCAGUGUGAAAAACUCCGGUGGUAUAAGAUGGACCCGCGUUGGAUUAGCUAGUUGGUGAGGUAACGGCCCACCAAGGCGACGAUCCAUAGCCGACCUGAGAGGGUGACCGGCCACAUUGGGACUGAGACACGGCCCAA